AAUGAUACACAAAUUCUAGAAUCUCUCCAUCAUUCAAGUUGGGCAUACCAGAUACCCUGGAUUUUCACAUCCUUGGGGACCUUUGCACCGAGAUCAGUAUCAGAUGGCUGGAUGCUCUCAAAUACUCCAAUGACCUCACCGGUCUCUGGCUUGCACUGGGUAACACUCAGGGUGAUCUUUCCUGUAGAAGAUGCAGUAUUCUUUACGUUCUCCUUCUCAAGCUCCUCCUCGUCUCCUCUCCCUCCAGCAGGCAAUGCAACAGCGUUGUCAUAGCCAGUAGAUCCACCCCGUCCCUUUGGGUCAAGGAAGGAUGAACCUCUGUAUGAUGGCACAAGGAAUUCACCGCUAAAGCUUUCUGGUUUGCCGCUUGCCACUAGCUGUUUGAUAGUGAAGAGGAAGGGCACACGCUCACCACCAGGAAGCUGAACUGUAACAGCAGCAUAAUCAAUUCCAUCCUUCUCCUCAAACUUAACAGUGCCAUCAGAAGACACUUCGAAUGGUCCCUCAAUCUCAUCAAGGGUGUAGGUUAAGCGUGUCAUGAGCUUGGUUUUCUGGAAAUCUGGGGGUGCAUUCUUGUUCACACUCUCUGCCUUGACUGUGAAUGAUGUGGGCUCUAAGCAGAAU
This 624-nucleotide long non-coding RNA is filed under the name Nicotiana tabacum (common tobacco). RNAcentral describes it as "long non-coding RNA (NTAB_LNC002648)". Lineage: Eukaryota; Viridiplantae; Streptophyta; Magnoliopsida; Solanales; Solanaceae. The record is from RNAcentral.